Stylophora pistillata is the source of this 255-nucleotide long non-coding RNA. The record is from RefSeq and is a predicted model, not a curated record. Lineage: Eukaryota; Metazoa; Cnidaria; Anthozoa; Scleractinia; Pocilloporidae.
UGGAAAUUACACGGCAUUGUUGGAGAUAUUUUUACCAAAUUAAGCAGCUCUUAUCAUAUCGAUGUCUUACGAAUCUAUUCCAAUUACGUCAACAACUUUCCUAGGGCAAUAGGCGUGAUAAACAAAAGUUCAAGGGGAUCACAUAAAUUUAGGAAAUUCUUACAGAGCUGCUCCUCAAAUUCAGAAUGCGAGGGACUAGAUCUACCUGCUUUUCUCCUUACUCCAAUACAACGACCUCCUCGAUACGUCCUUCUU